Molecule: unclassified non-coding RNA, 210 nt
Filed under: Hevea brasiliensis (rubber tree)
Lineage: Eukaryota; Viridiplantae; Streptophyta; Magnoliopsida; Malpighiales; Euphorbiaceae
Source: RNAcentral
GCCACUGCAGGAAAUAUCCAUGCCGCAGUUGAACGAUUACUGGGGAAUUCGGGGCAGUAGUGAUCGAUCCCAUUGGUAGUGUCGAUGCAUUUGAUGUGGCCCCAUCAAGUGCUGACAGCUGAGGUGAGUGACUUUGGAGGUGAAAUUCAAGUCCAUUAAGUCCAAAUUUUGGUAUAGGAGCGGCAAAGUCAGGAAUGCGAUCACUGAAUU